UCGUUGUAGCAAUACGAUGGAAAGUUUAGUGGCGAACGGGUGCUUAACACGUGGGCAACCUGCCAGGAAGUGGGGGAUAGCUCGCCGAAAGGCGAAUUAAUACCGCAUGUGAUUAGAGAGGACAUCCUUUCAAAAUUAAAGUCGGGGCAACCUGACGCUUCUUGUGGGGCCCGCGGCCUAUCAGCUAGUUGGUGAGGUAACGGCCCACCAAGGCUUUGACGGGUAGCUGGUCUGAGAGGACGACCAGCCACACUGGGACUGAGACACGGCCCAGACACCUACGGGUGGCAGCAGUCGAGAAUUUUUGACAAUGGGGGAAACCCUGAUCGAGCGACGCCGCGUGGAGGAUGAAGGGUUUCGGCUUGUAAACUCCUGUCAUUGGGGAACAAUGCUGCGGGGAGUAACUGCCCUGUAGUUGAUAGUACCCGAAGAGGAAGAGACGGCUAACUCUGUGCCAGCAGCCGCGGUAAUACAGAGGUCUCAAGCGUUGUUCGGAUUCAUUGGGCGUAAAGGGUGCGUAGGCGGUGAGGUAAGUCGGAUGUGAAAUCCCGGGGCUCAACCCCGGAACUGCAUUCGAUACUGCUUUACUUGAGGACUGGAGAGGAGAUUGGAAUUCUCGGUGUA
RNAcentral lists this ribosomal RNA (624 nucleotides) under uncultured Verrucomicrobiota bacterium. RNAcentral's name for it is "bacterial SSU rRNA". It matches the Rfam family "Bacterial small subunit ribosomal RNA", at positions 71 to 677 of the family's 1533-position model. Lineage: Bacteria; Pseudomonadati; Verrucomicrobiota. The record is from RNAcentral.